GCUCCUGCAAAGAAAAAUCAAAAUGCCCAUUGAUGAACCUUUGUAUGAGUACAAAUCUUGUAUAUAAAUGUACUGUGCACACAAGGGGAGGACCAUAAUUUUACAUUGGGCAAAUGGCUGAUUCAUUUAAGAAUUGUUAUCACAACUAUGUCACCAGCUUCAAGAGAAUCAAUAAGAGACAUUCAGCAUCUUUGGCUGAUUUUGUGUGGCGACUGAAAGGAGAUAAAAUUAAGUAUGACAUAACUUGGUCCAUAGUAAGGCACACAAAACCAUACAAUAUCAUUUCCAGGAGAUACCAACUCUGCUCCGAGGAAUCCCUGUCUAUUCUGUGGACCAAUGAGAUGCCACACCCUG
This is a long non-coding RNA of Octopus sinensis (East Asian common octopus), 354 nucleotides long. RefSeq lists it as uncharacterized. NCBI's taxonomy places the organism in Eukaryota, Metazoa, Mollusca, Cephalopoda, Octopoda, Octopodidae. The record is from RefSeq and is a predicted model, not a curated record. The transcript is spliced from 3 exons.